RNAcentral lists this ribosomal RNA (254 nucleotides) under uncultured bacterium. RNAcentral describes it as "partial 16S ribosomal RNA". It matches the Rfam family "Bacterial small subunit ribosomal RNA", at positions 524 to 776 of the family's 1533-position model. The record is from RNAcentral.
UACAGAGGUCCCAAGCGUUUGUUCGGAUUCAUUGGGCGUAAAGGGUGCGUAGGCGGCGCGGUAAGUCGGGUGUGAAAUCUCGGGGCUUAACUCCGAAACUGCAUUCGAUACUGCCGUGCUUGAGGACUGGAGAGGAGACUGGAAUUCAUGGUGUAGCAGUGAAAUGCGUAGAGAUCAUGAGGAAGACCAGUGGCGAAGGCGGGUCUCUGGACAGUUCCUGACACUGAGGCACGAAGGCCAGGGGAGCAAACAGG